UCUUUUUUAAAAAUCUUUACUUCUGCUAUUCAUAUUCCUAUUUGCUUCUUUAAUUUCUCACACAUACUUAAAGUUCCAACGUACCUCUUGAAUGGCUGUCAUGACAACAUGUUGAACAGAUUCCUCCAUCAUCAUAAUGGCUUGGAUGUACUCUGAAAACAAGAAUAAUCUGGAAUGUCACUGUUCAAGUUAAAGAUACUCAAGGGAGUAAAAGGCUUACACUUCAUGAAUUCUUAUAAGUAGUCUCCCAUGUUUUGACUCUUCCCAGGAAUUCUUCAUAAGUGGUUAAAUAUCUGCACCACAGUUCACAGCACAGCCUAAGAUGAGUUGAAGCAUCCUUCCGAGCUCUGCGGCAUCAGAAUGUUCCCCAAUGAGGUUCACAUCAGGAAGGGUAAAGUCAUUAAUUUGCUGUCCUAAGAUCUGAAUAGAGACAAAAGGAUUAGAACUGCAUUUACAUUUAUAUGUCCAAAUAAAAUAUUUGAUACAAAUUA
Long non-coding RNA from Felis catus (domestic cat), 491 nucleotides. RefSeq lists it as uncharacterized. The record is from RefSeq and is a predicted model, not a curated record. Lineage: Eukaryota; Metazoa; Chordata; Mammalia; Carnivora; Felidae. The transcript is spliced from 2 exons.